RNAcentral lists this transfer RNA (73 nucleotides) under Stegodyphus mimosarum. It matches the Rfam family "tRNA". From Rfam's summary of the family: Transfer RNA (tRNA) molecules are approximately 80 nucleotides in length. Their secondary structure includes four short double-helical elements and three loops (D, anti-codon, and T loops). Lineage: Eukaryota; Metazoa; Arthropoda; Arachnida; Araneae; Eresidae. The record is from Rfam by way of RNAcentral.
GUCUUCGUGGUGUAGUGGUCAGAACGCUGGUCGCGUAUUCGGGAGGUCCGUGGUUCGAGUCCCGGCGAAGGCG